RNAcentral lists this long non-coding RNA (1526 nucleotides) under Monodelphis domestica (gray short-tailed opossum). RNAcentral's name for it is "lncRNA (ENSMODG00000039900.1)". The record is from RNAcentral. Lineage: Eukaryota; Metazoa; Chordata; Mammalia; Didelphimorphia; Didelphidae.
AAAAGCCAAAUCCAGCCACAGGUCCUACGUGAGUCAUUUAAAUGCUUACCUUAGUUUCUUCAUCUAUAAAAUGGGGUUACUAAUUUUGCUUACUUCCCAGGGUUGUCAUGAAGAUCAAUUUAAAUAACUGUCCAACACUUAGCGCAGUGUCUGGUGCAGUAAUAAUAACCGAUAAUAACUAGCAUGCCGUGAAUACUCUGCUUGACGACAGAGCUCUGAAUGGACAAAAGGCAUUUGAGAUUCUUCCAUUUUCACUAAAUGGCUGACAUCCUUAGCAGCAAUCACACAUCAUUUAGGAAGACUGAUCCUAAGGACAAUGAAUCACAGGCUCAGGUACAACGAUAUAGAAAACAGUGGUCAGGAAAUUGUAAAAAUCACCGACAUUUCCCGAGAGAAGAAGACAAAAGGGCCAGAAUAAGUGAUUAAAGCGAAAUGACAUAAAAAAUCGUCCUUUUGCUGUAGACGAUCCUCUCCGAGGCAUCGACAGCUCAUUGUUGAAUUUGUCGCCUGUAAAAACGCCUUUAGGAAAUGUCUUUUCCUCUCUCGUAACCGUGAUCACUGGAGCGCCACAAAGAGCUGUUUUGAGUACGGAAUGGUGCACGCCUGUCUUUGGAACAAUCUCUUAAAACGAUUUCCUUGCAUUCAGACUCCAACAUGAAGACCAGCACGGGCUGCUGGAGGCUCGGAGCUGCCGUCAGAGACCAGGAGGCGGCUCUCUUGUUUCCGUGCCGCUCACCGUGGCUCGCUGCGCUUCAGAGGCUCUUUUUAGGGGAGAGCUGAGUCGGCACGUUGAUUGCUUCUUGCUUCCAAUGACGGCUUUUUCACCGAGGAAGAGACCCGGCACAUUUCAGGAGAGAUCACAUGAUUCCUGGCAAGGCGCUUGAACGUGCCAUAAAGAAGGACGCGAAUAGCCAGGGAGGGAAGAAGUGAUGACAGGAAACCAGGAUGACUCAUCAAGAAGAGCCGCGUCAGGAAAGAGAGCCAGCAGAGGUCCAGAAACUGGAAUCCACCCCAGAAUUCCUUGGCAGCUGUCCAGACCUGAUGGCAGAAAUGCCUUUUCCACAUCAAGGGAGCAGCUACUCUAGAAGCUUUGGUGCAUUUGGAAAUGAACUUGGUGGGAAGAGAACGUUCUAGGAGCCACUCUGCAUGGAAGCAAGAGAUUUGGGCGGGUGCCCCAGGGCUUGAGUAAGGUGUUUUUGUUCUUUUCAGUAAAUAGUCUUUGCAAAAAGCUAAUUGAUGUUAAUGGGCCAAAUUGGGAAUGGGACCGGAGUCAUUGGAGCAAUCAUUGUUAGAGGGGAGAUGCUAACUGGAGCUAGCAAUUAAUAUUGAUAGCAUACACGAAAGGCUGAGGCAGUGACAGAAAGAGGACGCCCCAGAAUCCCGAGGAGCAAUGGAUCCCGUUCCUCUCUGGUGACCUGGCUUGCUGGUGAGAUUGGUGAUGGAGGUGAGGGUUCUCACACGAUAUACAGAAUGACACCACCGAGAGCCCCAAUAAAAAUCGGAACCCAGUCUUGAGAUCUCGCUGA